UGGGAACACUGACCUCACGGGGCGGCUAGCUGCACGGAUUCAGCGAGGCCAAGGGUGUGAAGCAGACCCACUAGCCUUUCUCACCACUGCCAGGGGCAGGGGCAGGCUCGAGCUGGUCAGUCCCCCGGGCUCAGGGCACAAGGCCAGGAGGAAGGGCUGGAUGAGGGAGCUUUUGCAACUUGCCCUAACUGCUCUGGCCUCCCCGCUCCUGGGUGGUGAUGAGAAGAGCCUCAGACAGGAGAGAACAACGAAACAGCCAUUUCCUUCCUCGUUGGGGUCCUGUGAGCUGUGGUCGCCAGCAGGGAGGAGUCAAACAAAAACUGCCGAUAACCUCAAUCAUGGCACCCACCGUCAACGUCGCACAGAACAGGGAACGGGUCCCGCCGCCAAGUUCCCUACCGUCGUCACCGCCACGGCCACCGCCGCUGCCACGCUCACAGCACUGGCCGUCCACGGCCACACACGACCAACCUCCACUAGGGCCGCCGUUCCCACACCACCAUCGCCAGGGCGGUCGUCAAAAAUCAGCAACGGACGGCCGACAGCCAAAAGUGCUGCCAUCACCGCCCCACUCGGGGCGAGAGCGGCCACCGACUACCGUCAUUCCACGGAUCAGCCCUGAAGACGACCAGCCACCAACCACAGAUCAACACCGGCUGGCAGGCGGCAACCAUCGCCCCUGCCGACACGCGCCCACGGGACUCAACAGUUACCGCCACCUUGCGAGCGACGUGGGCGAUGACCACCAUCAUCCCCCCCCCCCCCCGGGCACCCACCACCCAUCAUCAUUCAACAGCAACCGAGAGCGCCUCCCCCGGCUGCCAUCACUAACGACAGCAAUGAAUGGGCAUCGCCCACGGGGACUGCAUCGAGGGCACAGCGCGUGGCUUGGGGAAGCACUUGAAGAACACUGCUCCGUUGACUCCUUCCACACUCUUCCUAGCACUCCUCGCCCCCCCCCAGGAGCAGUCGGCACCCCUGGAUGGAAGUUUUUGGCCUCGUGGAUGGGGUCUGCCCUCUCUUUUCCCCUCCGUGGUCCUCUUGGGUGAGCUU
This 1053-nucleotide long non-coding RNA is filed under the name Felis catus (domestic cat). Its description in RNAcentral is "lncRNA (ENSFCAG00000051708.1)". Lineage: Eukaryota; Metazoa; Chordata; Mammalia; Carnivora; Felidae. The record is from RNAcentral.